AGCUUUGCGCAGUGGCAGUAUCAUAGCCAAUGAGGUUUAUCCGAGGCGCGAUUAUUGCUAAUUAAAAAACUGGUAAAUAUCUGGAUUAACAUAAUAGAAUGUUCACCUCUUUUUGAGUUCUGUAAAAUAAG
RNAcentral lists this small nuclear RNA (131 nucleotides) under Zalophus californianus (California sea lion). RNAcentral describes it as "U4 spliceosomal RNA (ENSZCAG00015015771.1)". It matches the Rfam family "U4 spliceosomal RNA". From Rfam's summary of the family: U4 small nuclear RNA (U4 snRNA) is a component of the major U2-dependent spliceosome. Lineage: Eukaryota; Metazoa; Chordata; Mammalia; Carnivora; Otariidae. The record is from RNAcentral.